Molecule: ribosomal RNA, 253 nt
Filed under: uncultured bacterium
Lineage: Bacteria
Description: partial 16S ribosomal RNA
Rfam family: Bacterial small subunit ribosomal RNA
Source: RNAcentral
UACAGAGGGGGCAAGCGUUGUUCGGAAUUACUGGGCGUAAAGGGCGCGUAGGUGGCCUUCUAAGUUGAACGUGAAAUCCCUGGGCUCAACCCAGGAACUGCGUCCAAGACUGGGAGUCUUGAAUCCGGGAGAGGGAUGCGGAAUUCCAGGUGUAGCGGUGAAAUGCGUAGAUAUCUGGAGGAACACCGGUGGCGAAGGCGGCAUCCUGGACCGGUAUUGACACUGAGGCGCGAAAGCCAGGGGAGCAAACGGG